UACAUAGGGUGCAAGCGUUAAUCGGAAUUACUGGGCGUAAAGCGUGCGUAGACGGUUAUGUAAGUCAGAUGUGAAAGCCCCGGGCUCAACCUGGGAAUUGCAUUUGAGACUGCAUAGCUAGGGUGCGGAAGAGGGAAGCGGAAUUUCCGGUGUAGCGGUGAAAUGCGUAGAUAUCGGAAGGAACACCAGUGGCGAAAGCGGCUUCCUGGUCCAGCACCGACGUUCAGGCACGAAAGCGUGGGGAGCAAACAGG
Molecule: ribosomal RNA, 253 nt
Filed under: uncultured bacterium
Lineage: Bacteria
Description: partial 16S ribosomal RNA
Rfam family: Bacterial small subunit ribosomal RNA
Source: RNAcentral